UCCCUGCCUGCCACCAACAGCGCUGGGCUGGCCUGGGGCUGCGGACAUGGGGGCUGCUUAGGAGCAACCCCCCAGGACCUCCCAGGCCAGCUGGGCGCUCAGGGUGCAGACCUCGGCGGCCACCAUCGGGGGCGGGGCUUAGUGCCCCUCCUGUCCUCCAGACCCUGGGCUCACUGAGGAGCGUCCAGCCAGCGGUCACCAGCACAUCUGCCUGGGGCCUGGCCUGGGGUCCUGAACCUGAGACCCCGGGUGCCAAAGACAACAGGGAGGGCAGCACACAGGGAGAGACCCCGAGAUGUGCCCUGGGCUGGGGGACGGUGAUGGGGAAGCCACCUCUCCCCGACUGUCACUCUAGUCUGACUUUGGGCCCUGCGACUCCCCCCACCCAAGGGCUCUGUCCCGAUCCGUCUCAGGCAGACCUCGUGGGACAUGGGUGGGGGGCCUCGCAUCCGGGUCUCCGCUCGAGGUCCAUGUUAAUUUUUUAUUUAUCUGAAAGUGGGACUGGAAGCGGCUUCGAGUGAGUCUGAAGUAAUUAGGAGUUCCUGCUGAUGGAUCGCACUGGAGGGACGCGGGGAUUAUUUAUUACCGAGUCACUUGCCGGAAAGGAGGGAAGGCAGCACCUCGAUGCGUGACCAGCCUCACCAGAUGCCCAAGGGAGGAACAACCAGGAGGCCGGGAGCUGCCCAGUACAGCCAUGGUCCAGUCGAAAGCUGCUAGCCCCAAGGGACAGAAAGGCCAGCCUGACAGGCUUCAAUAGAAGAUGGACUGAAUUGCCUCCUAUAGCUGAACUGUCUGGGGUAGGUCUCUGGCUUCAGGUAUGGCUUGAUCCAGGCCUCAACUGUUAUCACAGGAUCCAUGUCUGGGAUCUGGUUUUUCUAAGAUGGUAGUUCCAGCCUCAGAACCAAAGCCACACGAGGAUUUCCACUUCCACCUGGGGUGAAAUAACAGGGACCACAUUUAUGCUCCCAUCUGAAACAUCAACAACAACAAAUAGACAAAAUAUAAGGGGAAAAAAAGAGAUUUCCAAGACAUCGGACAACCAGCCGUGAAGGCCAGCGGUUCCUGAGAUGGGGGGAGAAAUGAAGCUCCUGUGAUUGCCAGAGUUUCCAGAAAGCCCCCGAGCUUCUGGGGAGGCCAAGGUGGCUUGAGUUCUUGGCAGGGUACCCAAGAGGGAGAGCGGCACACGGCGAGGACCCCAGAGUUCUGCAGAGGAGCCCCCUGAGCGUUCAGCGGAGCACUGAUGAGUGUGUGAACCUGGGGAAACCAUCCAGGACUGGAGACCAGCCCUCCAAAAGGAUCAGAGAACAAUGCUCCACGCUGACAUGGGCCUGAGAGGGCGCUGUCCCCCGCUAGACUUAUGCUGAGCAAACAGCAGGCCCAGGACCAUCCUGGAGAAAAGCCUUGAGCAAGGGCUGGCCUUAGGCAGGAGGAGUAACUCCCCCGACAGAGACCCGCCCCAGAGACGCUAAGCCAUUAAUAACAGCAGGACUAGAAAGGACCCACGAUUUCUACGCUGCAUCCCAGGACACAGCUCCCACAUCUUACAGGGAUGCAAAGAUCCCCCACAAUCAGUGAGGUACAGUUCACGAUGUCUGACACCCAGUCGAAGGCUGCUAGGUAUUAAAGACACAGAAAAGACAGGACCCACAUUGAGGAGGACACUCUGUCAGUCGAAACUGGCCCAGAACAGACACAGAUGUUAGAAGGAACAGACAAGGACAUUAAAUGGAUUCUUGUAACUGCAUUCUACAUGUUCAAAGAGUUAAGUAGAGACGUGGAAGGUAUUAAAAAAAAAGACUCCAAAUGGAACUUCUAGGCAUGGAAAUGACAACAUCUUAGAUGAGGGAUAUGUGUAAAUAUUUAUGUCAAAAGAAGCAGAACAGAAAACAGAAUAAUAAUUUAUUUUUGGUACCAGGGAUUGAACUCAGGGACA
Molecule: non-coding RNA, 1933 nt
Organism: Ictidomys tridecemlineatus (thirteen-lined ground squirrel)
Lineage: Eukaryota; Metazoa; Chordata; Mammalia; Rodentia; Sciuridae
Source: RefSeq, a predicted model, not a curated record